RNAcentral lists this unclassified non-coding RNA (350 nucleotides) under Hevea brasiliensis (rubber tree). Lineage: Eukaryota; Viridiplantae; Streptophyta; Magnoliopsida; Malpighiales; Euphorbiaceae. The record is from RNAcentral.
UAUCUUUGGGGGUCGUCUCUCUAGUACUGUUACUUGUCUGGAGUGUGGACACUCUUCAUUAGUCUAUGAGCCAUUAUUGGAUCUCUCAUUACCGGUUCCCACUAAGAAGACUCCGUCUAAAAAAGCUCAACCAGUUUCCCGUAUGAAGAAGGCAAAACAUGCUCCAAAGAGAAGUGGAAGACUGUGCCCCAAAAUUAAUAGAGAUGCAGCUUCUCCUAAUUCUCAAAGUGCUCAAGAAAGUGUUAGCAAGUCGUUCUGCCAGGUACAGUCUAGUGCGCCCAUCGCUGAGGGAAUGGAAGUUCCCUCUGAUUGUGCAUUGGUAGAUUCUCUUGAUGCUAGUUCUAUGGCUG